Molecule: non-coding RNA, 261 nt
Organism: Castor canadensis (American beaver)
Lineage: Eukaryota; Metazoa; Chordata; Mammalia; Rodentia; Castoridae
Source: RefSeq, a predicted model, not a curated record
GAUGCUCGCUGCGUGUCCUCCCCGUUUGUUCGGCGCUGCCCAGAAGCCGGCAAGCAGAGUACUAGUGGCAUCCCGUAAUUUUGCAAAUGAUGCUACAUUUGAAAUUAAGAAAUGUGAUCUUCACCGGCUGGAAGAGGGCCCUCCUGUCACAACAGUGCUUACUAGGGAGGAUGGGCUCAAAUACUAUAGGAUGAUGCAGACUGUGCGCCGAAUGGAAUUAAAGGCAGAUCAGCUGUAUAAACAAAAAAUUAUUCGUGGUUU